AGCGGUGUGGCUCAGUGACAGAGCCUCUGCUUUGCAUGCAGGAGGUCGUAGGUUCAAUCCUUAGCAUAGGGUUG
Molecule: non-coding RNA, 74 nt
Organism: Podarcis lilfordi (Lilford's wall lizard)
Lineage: Eukaryota; Metazoa; Chordata; Lepidosauria; Squamata; Lacertidae
Source: the annotation of a GenBank genome assembly